CUCCUCAGGAAUGUAGAGGCGCCCUUAUUGCUCUCCCUUCUACUCUGACCAACCGCCAGUGAUGGUAGGGUAUGGGCCUGAUGCUCCAGCAGCAGCUAUUUUCAGGGCUACCAAGCAGAAUACCAGGCUUUCUCCGUGACACUUUUAUUGGUUUCAAGUCUUCAGAGUUCAGGCAGGGCUCUUUAAAACAUGAUACUUCAGUCAAAGUUUCUA
This is a long non-coding RNA of Pipistrellus kuhlii (Kuhl's pipistrelle), 213 nucleotides long. RefSeq lists it as uncharacterized. The transcript has 3 exons. Lineage: Eukaryota; Metazoa; Chordata; Mammalia; Chiroptera; Vespertilionidae. The record is from RefSeq and is a predicted model, not a curated record.